AAUCAACGCUGGCGGCGUGCCUAACACAUGCAAGUCGAACGCGAAAGCCCGCAAGGGUAAGUAGAGUGGCGCACGGGUGAGUAACACGUGGACAACCUGCCUUCGAGUGGGGAAUAACCUUCCGAAAGGAGGGCUAAUACCGCAUAACACCUCGGGACACAAGUUCUGGGGUUAGAAAAGAGCAAUUUGCUCGAAGAGGGGUCCGCGCCUGAUUAGCUAGUUGGUGAGGUAACGGCUCACCAAGGCUUCGAUCAGUAGCCGUCCUGAGAGGGAGCACGGCCACACUGGAACUGAGACACGGUCCAGACUCCUACGGGAGGCAGCAGGUGGGGUAAUUUUUGGCAAUGGGCGAAAGCCUGACCAAGCAACGCCGCGUGGGUGAUGAAGUAUCUU
This 393-nucleotide ribosomal RNA is filed under the name uncultured bacterium. RNAcentral describes it as "bacterial SSU rRNA". It matches the Rfam family "Bacterial small subunit ribosomal RNA", at positions 32 to 419 of the family's 1533-position model. The record is from RNAcentral.